RNAcentral lists this transfer RNA (68 nucleotides) under Marmota monax (woodchuck). RNAcentral's name for it is "tRNA.Ala". The stretch from base 5 to 65 matches the Rfam family "tRNA", at positions 6 to 65 of the family's 71-position model. Rfam says of the family: Transfer RNA (tRNA) molecules are approximately 80 nucleotides in length. The record is from RNAcentral. Lineage: Eukaryota; Metazoa; Chordata; Mammalia; Rodentia; Sciuridae.
GGAAUGUGGCUCAGUGGUAGAGCAUUUGCCUAGCAUACACAAGGUCCUGGGUUUAAUCCCUAGCACCA